UGAACGCUGGCGGCAGGCUUAACACAUGCAAGUCGAGCGGAAACGAUGAUAGCUUGCUAUCAGGCGUCGAGCGGCGGACGGGUGAGUAAUACUUAGGAAUCUACCUAGUAGUGGGGGAUAGCACGGGGAAACUCGUAUUAAUACCGCAUACGUCCUACGGGAGAAAGGGGGCAACUUGUUGCUCUCGCUAUUAGAUGAGCCUAAGUCGGAUUAGCUAGAUGGUGGGGUAAAGGCCUACCAUGGCGACGAUCUGUAGCUGGUCUGAGAGGAUGAUCAGCCACACCGGGACUGAGACACGGCCCGGACUCCUACGGGAGGCAGCAGUGGGGAAUAUUGGACAAUGGGGGAAACCCUGAUCCAGCCAUGCCGCGUGUGUGAAGAAGGCCUUUUGGUUGUAAAGCACUUUAAGCAGUGAAGAAGACUCUUCGGUUAAUACCCGGAGACGAUGACAUUAGCUGCAGAAUAAGCACCGGCUAACUCUGUGCCAGCAGCCGCGGUAAUACAGAGGGUGCAAGCGUUAAUCGGAAUUACUGGGCGUAAAGCGAGCGUAGGUGGCUUGAUAAGUCAGAUGUGAAAUCCCCGGGCUUAACCUGGGAACUGCAUCUGAAACUGUUAGGCUAGAGUAGGUGAGAGGGAAGUAGAAUUUCAGGUGUAGCGGUGAAAUGCGUAGAGAUCUGAAGGAAUACCGAUGGCGAAGGCAGCUUCCUGGCAUCAUACUGACACUGAGGCUCGAAAGCGUGGGUAGCAAACAGGAUUAGAUACCCUGGUAGUCCACGCCGUAAA
Molecule: ribosomal RNA, 783 nt
Filed under: Psychrobacter sp. AD-G1
Lineage: Bacteria; Pseudomonadati; Pseudomonadota; Gammaproteobacteria; Moraxellales; Moraxellaceae
Description: bacterial SSU rRNA
Rfam family: Bacterial small subunit ribosomal RNA
Source: RNAcentral